RNAcentral lists this long non-coding RNA (7307 nucleotides) under Solanum lycopersicum (tomato). RNAcentral's name for it is "long non-coding RNA (SLYC_LNC000186)". The record is from RNAcentral. Lineage: Eukaryota; Viridiplantae; Streptophyta; Magnoliopsida; Solanales; Solanaceae.
GGCAAAAUAAUCAUCAUAUAUAUACAUCAUACGAACCCGGCCCUCUAGUGAGGGACUCGGUGAAAUAGUUAUCACAUCAUCUCCGUCAUCAUCAUCAUCAUAACCAUCCUCAUCACCAAUCAUAUAUAUAAUAUACAUACCCGGCCCUCUAGUGAGGGACUCAGUGACAUAUGCAAGAAACUCCGCACGAACAUUACCCGGCCUGCAACUCGGUGAAAUGAUAAAUGACUCUAUGCACGAGCAGAAUAUUAUGAGCAACCAUAUGCAAUUAAAAUCAUUUUUUAUAACUCAAUAGAACAAUCAACGUGAACCGGCAAGGGGUAUUACCAAAGAUUAACGUUUUAUCAAGAUUAUGAACCUUUAAUACGAUAUGGAAACGUAAAAUCUCAGUGACUCUAAGAAGCACUACCAUAGAUAUGAGAAAUCACCAUAGACUUAGACAUAGCCGAUAUAUAGAGGAAUAGUUGUGGAAGCAAGAAUAUACGUCACCUAGACGCUCUAGAAGUAAGUAUGAAACUGGUCCGUCAUUCGCUCAUUUUUAAAAGUCAUGCCAAACAAAGAAAGAAAGGAUAGCGUUACAUACCGUAUAGUCGAGCCGCACGUCCAAUAUUUACUGCUCAAGCUAUUAAUCUAUAACAAGCAACAAUCAUGCCGCAAUUAGAUAGACGUCCCGCUUUACUACUUAUUGUAAGCUAGCUAAUAAUCUAACGGAAAUCCGGCAGCACUUCCCCUAUUUUCCUUACUUAGUCCCAAUCCGAUAACAACCCAAAUUAUCCACAGCAAUACCAAUAAAACAUAUAACCCAACGAAUCAUAUUAAACAGCCCCCCCCCUCCCCCAAAACAGUUCCGUCUCGGAAACCAUAGUAAUGAAACAAUGACACACCGAGCGAUAACUCGUUAUAUAAUUUGCAACACAUCUACCUUAUCGUAUUCAUCCUUUUGAGUAUAUACAUGGAAUCACAUUAACAUAUACAUAACUUCAAAAACAAAUUUCCAGCAUUUUGCUUUAAUCAAAACAGCCCAAACACUAACACGACAGCACUAAUAAUCUGACUAUGGUUUCCGUUCAUACUUAGCACAUUCAAUAACUAAAAAAAAUUUCCUUAGCUACUGGUCACGCCCCCUUCUUAACAUUAAUGGCUAAUUAACAAUGGCAUUCUAAGGAAUUAACACACCAAGCAAAGAGAUUACUAACCAAAUUCUUUUGUAGCUGCUAGCCAAGAGUUGCAUGGUUGGUUUUCUCCAUUUCCAUGGCUGUCUAUGAUAAGUGGUGAGGAAGAUGAUAUGUUUGCAAUGCAUUUCACCACCUCAUUCAUAAUAUGAAGUGGAGGCAGCCCCCCUCUACACGUGCCCCACUAAGGGCCAGCUCCCAAUCUGAUUUCUUUGAAUUUGCCUUGAGUGGUGGGGCCCACUUGAUUAAUUUAAUCCUAAUCAGCCACUAAUUAAUCCCUCACAUAGUUAAUGAAACUUAGAUUAGCCAAAUCAUACUUAGUAUCACAUGUGGAAUUAAAAUUCUUGCCUAAUAUUUCUUUAAUCACUUGAAACUUAAAAUAAAAUUUCAUUCCCCGGACUUACAUCUACUAGUUCAUGACGCGCACUACGUAUAAAUAUACGAGGCGUAACAUCCUUCCCCCCUUAGAAGCAUUCGUCCUCGAAUAUUAAGUUAGCGUCUUACAAAAAAAAUUCCAGCAAGGUCUCUCUAACAUUUAUACCUAUCAACCUGCAUUCCGUAACUUAUAGAUGCCUCACAGAGUCAACUUACUACAUAAUAUCGUUUAUUAAUCAAUAUAGUCAAGCUAGGAAUUGAAUUACAUGAAGGUACGGGGAACAAGUAAGGAUACUUAUUCUUCGUUUCGUCUCCGCUUCCCAAGUCAUCUCCUCCCUAUUAUUAUUUCGCCACAACACUUUGAUGGAAGCCACAUCCUUAGUACGUAACCUUCUAACCUGGCGAUCAAGUAUAGCUUCGGGUUUCUCCUCAUAUGACAACUCCAAGUCGGGAUCUUUAUCUCCUGUAACAAUCCACCAGCCUUUUGAUAUUCGAUCUUGACUUUUGACAAUUCGGGCACUGAGCAACAAACUCCGCUAUGUCCUUUUUCAUGCCAUCCCACCAGUAUAAGCAUCUGAGGUCAUGAUACAUUUUCGUCGACCCUGGGUGAAUAGAAUAACGGGCAGAGUUUACCUCUCCCAUAACCUGUCGUCGUAGCCCUGCAAUAUCGGGUACACACAAUCUGCCUUCAUAUCAUAACACUCCGUCAGGUGUAACCUUAAAUGGGGUCUUUUCCUUUUGAAGAGCUGCAUCUCUAUACUGUGCCAGAAAUAGGGUCCUCGUACUGGUGUCUUUUUACCUCAUCUAUGAUUGAGGACUCAGCAACCUCUAGAACAGAAACUCCACUAUUUCUGAAUUAGCCAGACGGACUCCAAGGUUGGAUAGCCGCUGAAUCUCCCGAACCAUCUCCCUCCUUUCUGGUUGUACAUCUGUCAAGCUACCCAUGGACUUACAGCUAAGAGCAUCUACUCAACAUUUGCUUUCCCUGGAUGAUAUAAAAUAUCAACAUCAUAAUCCUUUAGCAACUCUAAACACCGUCUUUGUCGUAAGUUUAGCUCCUUCUGUUUAAAGAUAUAUUGGAGACUCGUAUGAUCUGUAUAGAUGUCCACAUGGACACUAUACAAAUAAUGCCUCCAUAUCUUCAAGGCAUGAACCAUGACUGCUAACUCCAAAUCGUGAGUAGGAUAAUUAUUUCCAUGCUUCCUAAGCUGUCGGGAGGCAUAUGCUAUAACUUUGCCAUGCUGCAUCAAUACACAUCCUAGCUUAACACCCGAAGCAUCACAAUAAAUAACAUAGCCGUCUGGUCCCUCCGGAAGAGUUAGGACUAGAGUUAUAUUCAAUUUGUCUUUCAAUAGCUAGAAGCUUCGCUCACAAGCAUCAGUCCACCGGAACUUGGCUGCCUUUUGAGUUAGCCUUGUCAAAGGCACUGAAAUUGAGGCAAACUUUUCCACGAAUCUCCUAUAGUAUCCUGCUAACUCCAGAAACCUGCGUACCUCAGCAGGUGUCGUAGGUCUGGGUCAAGUCUUUACCGCCUCAAUCUUCUGCAUGUCUACCCGAAUACCAUCAGCUCCAAUAAUAUGCCCCAAGAAUGCCACUGAAGUCAACCAGAACUCGCACUUGGAGAACUUAGCAUACAACUUCUGGUGCGAAAGCACCCUAAGUACCGUCCUUAAAUGGUCUGCAUGCUCCUCUUCUGAACGUGAAUAGACCAGAAUAUCGUCUAUAAAUACAAUAACAAACAUAUCAAGAAAUGGUUUAAACACUCGAUUCAUUAAAUCCAUAAACACCGCUGGAGCAUUAGUUAGCCCAAAAGACACCACUCUAAACUCAUAAUGCCGGUAUCUGGUCCGGAAUGCCGUCUUUGGAAUAUCUGCCUCCCUUACCCGUACCUGAUGAUAACCUGACCGCAAGUCUAUCUUUGAAAAACACUUAGCACCCUGCAACUGGUCAAAUAGAUCGUCAAUCCUUUGGAGGGGAUACAUGUUCUUUACUGUUACUUUGUUCAGCUGCCUAUAAUCAAUACACAUCCGUAGCGACUCAUCCUUCUUCCUCACAAACAGUACCGGUGCUCCCCAAGGUGACGUACUAGGCGUGAUGAAGCCCUUUUCUAGCAAAUCUCUUAAUUGCUCUUUCAACUCAGCAGGUGCCGUUCUAUAAGGAGGUAUAGAUAUAGGUUGGGUAUAUGGCAGUACAUCUAUAUAAACUCUAUCUCUCAUUUUGGAGGAAGGCCUGGAAAUUCCUCUGGGAAUACAUCGGGAAAUUCAUUAACUACCAGGACUGAUUGAAGAGUCGGUGCCUCUGCCUUUAUGUCAUACACCCGAACCAGAUGAUAAAUAUAGCCUUUUCUAACCAUCUUCCUGGCCUUGAGGUAUGAAAUAAACUUACCUUUCAGCGAUACUGUAAUCCUCUUCCACUCUAUAAUCGGUUCCCCUGGAAAUUGAAAUCGAACUAUCUUUCCUCUGCAAUCAACAUUAGCAUAACAAGCAGCCAACCAAUCCAUGCCCAUGAUAAUAUCAAACUCAAUCAUAUUUAACUCUAUUAUAUCUGCUAUGGUACGACGGCUAUCUAUAACCACUGAACAAUUCUUAUAUACUCGCGUAGCUAUGACAGAAUCUCCUACAGGUGUAGCUACCUCAAAUGGUUCUAUCAACUCAGACUCUAUUCCGAUCCUACUAGCAACGAAGGGGGAUAUAAAUGAUAAGGUGGAACCUGGGUCUACCAAUGCAUACACGCUUCGGGAGAAUAGUGAUAAUAUACCUGUGAUCACAUUAGGUGACGCCUCCUGAUCCUGCCUACUAGUCAAAGCAUAUAUGUUGUUCGAGGGACCGCUAGAACUGGAAGCUCCACCACGGCCUACUGGCGCUUGAAUACCCUACCCCGUAGGGCGCAUAUCCACAGAAGAAGAUGAACCAGCAACGGACCCAGUAGGUUGUGCCAUACCACCCUCACUACCUCUAAGGUGACACUCCCUCAUAGUAUGAACCUGACGGCCGCAAGAAAAACAUGCACCUGUAGCCCAAUGACAUUCCCUAGGAUGGGACCUACCACAACGAGAACACCGAGGCAAAGGUGGCCUCGACUGGCUCAAACCCCUGCCCAUCUGUGACCUUGACGCCCUAGAGCUCUUACCAGCUUCCGAAUAUCCCGUACGAUCAAACCCCUUACCCAUGGAACAUAGGGGUGCACUCUGUGCUGGCUGGGAAGAAAAUCUAACAUGUUGCUGAGACUGCCCGCCUCGAAAGUCGUUAGGAUAACCUGCUGAGCCCUCUUAUGCUGGCCUCUAUUAUAAUCUCUAUCUGGCUGACGUCCCCGGUGCCGAUCCUCUAUCCCCUGUGCAUAUGCCUGCACCCGAGCAAUGUCCAUACCUGGCUGAAGAGUCAGUGCCAUACAACCGUCAAUCAGAUAACGAUCCAAUCCCAUCACAUAACGAUGUACCCUGUCUGCCAUAUCAUCCACAAUAGUAGGCGCAUGCCUAGCCCAUGAAUCAACUCGAGGCUUUACUCUCGAACGCUCGUACCAUUCUGCUUCUAACGCAAGAAUCUAUCGACUCUAGUCGCUUCAUCUCUGGAGGCAGGAAGUGGCCCUGGAAAGCCUCCACAAAUCCAUCCCAUACCGCUGGAGGAGCACCCUCACCCCUAGAUAACUCCCAAGACUCCUACCAAUUAAUAGCUACAUCCCGCAAACGAUACGUAGCCAACUCAACAGACUCGGUCUCCGAAGCCUUGAUUAUCCUCAAUGUACGCUGCAUCUGAAGAAUAAACUCUUGCGGAUCAUCCUGGGGCCUUGACCCAAAGAACUUUUGAGGAUUACAACUUAAGAAGUCACGAGCCCUUAAGCUAUCAGAUCUGUCCGCAUGAUCAACUCCUAGUCCAUGCCUGCGAGCCUGACCUGCCACUAAUGUAGUCAGCAACUGAACCGCAACUCUCAUGGCCCUAUCCUCCGCCCCUGGCUGAGGAGCUGGAGGUUCAGGUGCUAGGGCCUCGGGGCUGGUGGUGGGGUCCCCCGAACUGGAGCUGCUGCUGCUCUAAGCUCCUCUUGCAAUGGCGGUGUAGUAGAGCUCUCCGACUGGAGCACAAUACCAGGCAUAGACUGGGCACGGGCCCUAGUAACUCUCAGGGUCUGACUCGUUCCUUCUGCUAUUGAUUUGCCCUUCUGGGCGGCUGUCGCUUUCUUUGGAGGCAUAGCUGAAAACACAGGGGUUCGUUAGAGAGGGAUUAUCCUAUUAAUAUAGCUCUAUCGCACGAUCCAGAAUAAGAAGAAAGGAUGACAUCCUAAAUGUCCUGUAGCUCCCUGUUUAUAGAUGUGGUGCACAACACACCGAUAAAUAUGACUCUACUAGACACGGUCUCUAGACACUUCUGAGAAAGAACCGCUCUGAUACCACUUUUGUCAUGACCCAACCCGAUGGUCCGUGACUAGUGCCCGUUUUGGACACUCACAUACAAAUCUGUUAAGUAUAACCAACUGAAACUAAGACAAUAUAAAAUUUAAUCAAAUCAAGCCAAUCCCAGCGCCAUAUAUAUAUAAAGUGGAUCUGUCUCAUAAGGAGUCAUAACCGUUCAACCGUAACAACAUACGCGAGCCAACAAGGCUGCCACUAUCCAAAGCAUAAUAGCAUACGCAAGCCGGCAAGGCUGCCACUACACAAUACACAAUGAUGUACGCAGCCGACAAGGCUGCCUCUGUACAAGAGAACAUCCCAAACAAACCAUGUCCAUACCAUUAUCCAAAACAAAUAUAUGCAACCCACAUAAUGUCUACAGACCUCUAAGAGUAUAGUAGUGAAACUCGACGGGACAGGGCCCCACCGUACCCAUACACAAUCAAAACACUACACAGAAAGUUAUGUACCAAAACGACUGGGCUCCGAAGCAGUGGAGCUCUCCUAAUUAGCAGAGUAGAUAUCCUAGGCGGGAGGAUCACCGAACGGUGCGUCUACACCUGCGGGCAUGAAACGCAGCCCCCCGAGGAAAGGGGGUCAAUACGGAUAAUGUACUGAGUAUGUAAAGCAUAAGGUAAAGAUGACAGGGUACCAACAUGAUAAGUCGAAACAAUAUAUCGCUACACAUGUACCUUUUAAGUGAAAAUCAAGCAUAUCUUUAACAUAUAAGGUGCCCAGCUUCCCUAAUAAGGGACUCGGCAAAAUAAUCAUCAUAUAUAUACAUCAUACGUACCCGGCCCUCUAGUGAGGGACUCGGUGAAAUAGUCAUCACAUCAUCUCCGUCAUCAUCAUCAUCAUAACCAUCCUCAUCACCAAUCAUAUAUAUAAUAUACAUACCCGGCCCUCUAGUGAGGGACUCGGUGACAUAUGCAAGAAACUCCGCACGAACAUUACCCGGCCCGGGACUCGGUGAAAUGAUAAAUGACUCUAUGCAGGAGCAGAAUAUUAUGAGCAACCAUAUGCAAUUAAAAUCAUUUUUUAUAACUCAAUAGAACAAUCAACGUGAACCAGCAAGGGGUAUUACCAAAGAUUAAUGUUUUAUCAAGAUUAUGAACCUUUAAUAUGAUAUGGAAACGUAAAAUCUCAAUGACUCUAAGAAGCACUACCAUAGAUAUGAGAAAUCACCAUAGCCUUAGACAUAGCCGAUAUAUAGAGGAAUAGUUGUGGAAACAAGAAUAUACGUCACCUAGACGCUCUAGAAGUAAGUAUCAAACUUGUCCGUCAUUAGCUCAUUUUUAAAAGUCAUGCCAAACAAAGAAAGAAAGGAUAGCGUUACAUACCGUAUAGUCGAGCCGCACGUCCAAUAUUUACUACUCAAG